UACGGAGGGUGCAAGCAUUAAUCGGAUUUAUUGGGCGUAAAGGGCGCGUAGGCGGGAUUGUAAGUCAGAUGUGAAAUCCCGGGGCUCAACCCCGGAACGGCAUUUGAAACUGCAAUUCUUGAGGGUAGGAGGAGAAAACGGAAUUCCACAUGUAGCGGUGAAAUGCGUAGAUAUGUGGAAGAACACCAGUGGCGAAGGCGGUUUUCUAUCUUAUACCUGACGCUGAGGCGCGAAAGCAAGGGGAUCAAACAGG
This 253-nucleotide ribosomal RNA is filed under the name uncultured bacterium. Its description in RNAcentral is "partial 16S ribosomal RNA". It matches the Rfam family "Bacterial small subunit ribosomal RNA", at positions 524 to 776 of the family's 1533-position model. The record is from RNAcentral.